RNAcentral lists this ribosomal RNA (514 nucleotides) under uncultured bacterium. RNAcentral's name for it is "bacterial SSU rRNA". It matches the Rfam family "Bacterial small subunit ribosomal RNA", at positions 109 to 656 of the family's 1533-position model. The record is from RNAcentral.
AGUAACACGUGAAUGAUCUACCUCCGAGUUGGGGAAUAACAGAGAGAAAUCUUAGCUAAUACCGCAUAAUACCCACGGGUCAAAGCAGCAAUGCGCUUGGAGAGGAGUUCGCGGCGAUUAGCUAGUUGGCGGGGUAAUGGCCCACCAAGGCGAUGAUCGGUAUCCGGCCUGAGAGGGCGCACGGACACACUGGAACUGAAACACGGUCUAACUCCUACGGGAGGCAGCAGUGGGGAAUUUUGCGCAAUGGGGGAAACCCUGACGCAGCAACGCCGCGUGGAGGAUGAAAUCCCUUGGGAUGUAAACUCCUUUCGAUAGGGAAGAUAAUGACGGUACCUAUAGAAGAAGCCCCGGCUAACUUCGUGCCAGCAGCCGCGGUAAUACGAGGGGGGCAAGCGUUGUUCGGAAUUAUUGGGCGUAAAGGGUGCGUAGGCGGUUUGACAAGUCUGAUGUGAAAUCUAUGGGCUCAACCCAUAGUCUGCAUCGGAAACUGUCGGGCUUGAGUAUGGGAGAG